GUAUGCGAUCAUACCAGCACUAAAGCACCGGAUCCCAUUAGAACUCUGAAGUUAAGCGUGCUUGGGCGAGAGUAGUACUAGGAUGGGUGACCUCUUGGGAAGUCCUCGUGUUGCAUUCC
This 119-nucleotide ribosomal RNA is filed under the name Triticum aestivum (bread wheat). Lineage: Eukaryota; Viridiplantae; Streptophyta; Magnoliopsida; Poales; Poaceae. The record is from RNAcentral.